CGCUCAACAGCUAGCCCACCCCACCAAAUACAACAACCCCUAUUAAUACCCCCUAAGACACUAACCCCAUAACAACAAACCAUUUUUCCACCUGAGUAUAGGCGAUAGAAAAGGACAUUCGGAGCAACAGAGAAAGUACCGCAAGGGAACGCUGAAAAAGAAAUGAAACAAAUAACAUAAGCUUACAACAGCAGAGAGACAAACUCGUACCUUUUGCAUCAUGGUCUAGCCAGUAACACUCAAGCAAAGAGCACUUUAGUUUGAUACCCCGAAACUAGGUGAGCUACUUCAAGACAGCCUAACCAAUAGGGCUAACCCGUCUCUGUGGCAAAAGAGUGGGAAGAGCUUCAAGUAGCGGUGACAAACCUAUCGAACCUAGUAAUAGCUGGUUGCCUAAGAAAUGGAUAGAAGUUCAGCCUUCCAGCUUCUUUAUUCACACACAGUUUAUACUUCAUCCUGACGAUAAAUAGAAACCGGAAGAGUUAAUCAAAAGGGGAACAGCCCCUUUGAUACAAGACACAACUUCACCAGGUGGGUAAAGAUCAUAAUAAUAAAUAAAGCCUGUGCCUAGGUGGGCCUAAAAGCAGCCAUCCCUACAGAAAGCGUUAAAGCUCAAACACAUUCUACCCCUACCUAUUCUGAUAACCUAUCUCAACCCCCUAAUUUUAUUAGGCCAUCCCAUGACCCCAUGGGAGUGAUAAUGCUAGAAUGAGUAAUAAGAAAGGUCCAAUGCCUUUCUCCACGCACAACUGCAUAUCGGAACGGACUCCCCGCCGAACUCUAACGGUCCCAAAUAAAGAGGGCACUGAAUAGCAAACACAACAACUAGAAAUCUAUUCAACACACAACCGUUAACCCCACACUGGUGUGCUCACAUGGAAAGACUAAAAGAGAAAGAAGGAACUCGGCAAACACUAUCGGCCUCGCCUGUUUACCAAAAACAUCGCUUCUUGCAAACUAUGAAUAAGAAGUCCUGCCUGCCCUGUGACUAUAUGUUUAACGGCUGCGGUAUCCUGACCGUACGAAGGUAGCGCAAUCACUUGCCUUUUAAAUAGAGACCUGUAUGAAUGGCAAAACGAGGGCUCAACUGUCUCCUUUCUCAAGUCAAUGAAAUUGAUCUCCCCGUGCAGAAGCGGGGAUAAACCCAUAAGACGAGAAGACCCUAUGGAGCUUUAGAUGCAAGGACAGAUCACGUUAAGCACCUCUUAACAAAGAACCAAACCGAACGAACCCUGUCCCAGUAUCUUUGGUUGGGGCGACCGCGAGGAAAAACAAAACCCCCGCAUGGACUGAGGACACACCAUUCUCCCCUCUCCUCACAGCUAAGAGUUUCCACUCUAAGAACCAGAACUUCUGACCUACAAAGAUCCGGCAAUGCCGAUCAACGGACCCAGUUACCCUAGGGAUAACAGCGCAAUCCCCUUUUAGAGCCCAUAUCGACAAGGGGGUUUACGACCUCGAUGUUGGAUCAGGACAUCCUAAUGGUGCAGCCGCUAUUAAGGGUUCGUUUGUUCAACGAUUAAAGUCCUACGUGAUCUGAGUUCAGACCGGAGUAAUCCAGGUCAGUUUCUAUCUAUGAAAUGAUUUUUUCUAGUACGAAAGGACCGAAAAAAUGAGGCCCAUGCUAAAAGCACGCCUUAUCUACACCUAAUGAAGCCAACUAAAUUAGACAAGAUGACAUCCCCCUAUUGCCCGAAAUAAUGGCAU
Molecule: ribosomal RNA, 1707 nt
Filed under: Selenotoca multifasciata
Lineage: Eukaryota; Metazoa; Chordata; Actinopteri; Scatophagidae
Description: 16S ribosomal RNA
Rfam family: Bacterial large subunit ribosomal RNA
Source: RNAcentral